RNAcentral lists this ribosomal RNA (1500 nucleotides) under Triticum aestivum (bread wheat). RNAcentral describes it as "partial small subunit ribosomal RNA". The record is from RNAcentral. Lineage: Eukaryota; Viridiplantae; Streptophyta; Magnoliopsida; Poales; Poaceae.
AUGGACCACACGCACACCGGCAUCAACACCACGCCCGCCGCAGUCACCGCCUCCGCCUCCAUGGACGCCGCGCUGCUGCUCGAGCCCAAGCUCGAGAUGAUGCAGCAGCAGCAGCCCUCGCCUGCGGGCCACUACGCCGCGCUGGACCACCACCUGAUCCCGCCGCCGCCCGCGCUGGUGGUGCCCUGCGAGCCGCCGCGGCCCCUGGAGGCGCUGCUGCAGGGGCCGCAGCUGCCGCCGUUCCUGUCCAAGACGUACGACCUCGUCAGCGAGCCGCAGCUGGACGGCGUCAUCUCCUGGGGCCCCGCCGGCAACAGCUUCGUUGUGUGGAACCCUUCCACCUUCGCCCGCGACGUGCUCCCGCACAACUUCAAGCACAACAACUUCUCCAGCUUCGUCAGGCAGCUCAACACUUAUGGUUUUCGCAAGGUUCAUGCUGAUAGAUGGGAGUUUGCUCACGAGGGAUUUCUGCGGGGCAGCAAACAUUUAUUGAAGACGAUUGUCAGGCGCCGGUCCUCGCCGACGCAACAAAGCAGCCUCCAGCCUGGUUCAUCUAUCUUCAGGAAGAUACAGUCAGGUUCUUCUGGUGAGUCCACUGUGGACCCUGAGCUGCGCUCCCUGAGAAGAGAGAAGAACGCGCUGCUACAGGAGGUGGCCAGGCUGAAGGAGGAGCACAAUCAGACGAUCGAGCAUAUGAACGCGCUGAACCAGAGGCUGGAGACCGCGGAGGACCGGCAGAAGCAGGUGGUCUCCUUCUUGGCCAAGCUCCUUCAGAACCCGGAUUUUCUGAGGCAGCUCAAGAUGCACAGGGAGAGGAGGGAUGGGAUCGAUUCCGCCAGAGUGAAGAGGAAGUUCCUGAAGCAUGUACCGCAUGGCAGCAGAGACUCGGGCGACUCCAGCUCGCCGCGCACCGCAGAGAGUACAUGUUCCCCUGCACAUCCAGUCGCGCACGACGCCAUUGCAGACCUACAGAGUUUUCUCCUGGAAGACACGGACCUUAGUGAUGGCAUGAUGCCGGGUAACUUUGGCCUGGACGGAGUCGAAGCAUCAGAGGACAUCGGGGCUUUGGUUCAGGUAUUUGACCAGCAAGAUCCCGGAACCGGGGCUGAGCUGCUUGGAAUUCCUCCAGUUUCUGGCGCUGCUCAUUGCCAAGACCUCACAGUUGGCAGGUCCAAGGGGAAGAAUGUCAUGUGUCCAGGAGGAACGGAUGGCACGUCGUCUCAAGCCGACUGCCUCGUGCCAUUACCGGGCAACGUGGGCAAACUGAUGGAUGCAGAUGGUGAGCAAAUUUGGGGCGCCGAUACCUUUUUUCAAAGUUCUUGCAGCGGCACCAGUCAACAAACCUAUGUUAGUGAUCCCUAUCUAAUAGCGAUUCCCGACAAGCAUGAGAAAUUCUGGGAAGUCGAUUUUGAGGCACUGGAUGAUGGAGAUCUGCACCUGGACAAGUGCGUUAUCGGUGACCCUGCUCUUGAGCAACACAGGGGAAACAUGAAGCCAUAG